This is a non-coding RNA of Podarcis muralis (Common wall lizard), 530 nucleotides long. Lineage: Eukaryota; Metazoa; Chordata; Lepidosauria; Squamata; Lacertidae. The record is from RefSeq and is a predicted model, not a curated record.
GCAGCUCUGACAGUAUCCAACUUGUGAAUAUUCCCAGAGUUUGACAAUAUGGGCUGAAAAUAUGGGAACCAGCCCAGGAAGUGGCUUGGCGUUCAUCGGCCAUGACACCCACGUUCCUGCAGUUCACCUGAACAUGUCAGGGGUGGUGGCACCAACCACGACUUAUCAGGACAGACAUUUAUUUCAAUGCUAGCGUGGUAACUUUGACUUCUUGUGAAACUUCUGGCACUCCCUACUUGAUGUUGUUUUUUUUAACCACACAGCUAUGGUGUUGCUAAAACGAUCCCGGGCUCCUGUCUUCAAAGCUGAUAGACCUUUUAAUUUUCUCCUUAGGCAAGGCAGAACAGGUUCAAUUCUAUUUAUAGGAAGACUUACAAAUCCUAUUGAGUGAACUUGUCCUACCCAUGCUUCCAUAUAUCUGCAUUCCCAUAAAAUAAAAAAGCAUUAAUAGGCCAUUUUAAGUGUUGUGACUAUCAAGGGGAAGUUAUGUGAAACUUAUGGCUGUAAAUAAAGAGAGAUGCUUUUUGCCA